GAUGAACGCUGGCGGCGUGCUUAACACAUGCAAGUCGAACGAUGAAGCGCAGCUUGCUGGGUGGAUUAGUUGCGAACGGGUGAGUAACACGUGAGUAACCUGCCCUUAACUCUGGGAUAAGCCUGGUAAACUGGGCCUAAUACCGGCUAGGAGCGUCCACCGCAUGGAGGGUGCUGGAGAGAUUUAUCGGCUUUGGAUGGACUCUCGGCCUAUCAGCUUGUUGGUGAGGAAAUGGCACACGAAGGCGACGACGGGUAGACGGCCUGAGAGGGUGAACGGCCACACUGGGACUGCGACACGGACCAGAAUCCUACGGGAGGCAGCAGUGGGGAAUAUUGCACAAUGGGCGCAAGCCUGAUGCAGAGACGCCGCGUGAGUGAUGACGGCCUUCGGGUUGUAAACAUCUUUCAGUAGGGAAGAAGCGAUAGUGACGGUACCUGAAGAAGAAGCACCGGCUAACUACGUG
RNAcentral lists this ribosomal RNA (466 nucleotides) under uncultured bacterium. RNAcentral's name for it is "partial 16S ribosomal RNA". It matches the Rfam family "Bacterial small subunit ribosomal RNA", at positions 28 to 507 of the family's 1533-position model. The record is from RNAcentral.